GGCUGCUCCAGCAAGUCUUUUCCCUUUUGUCUUUUCUCUGAUUCUAGCACUUAGACAAAUAUGUUAGUACACAAAAACUAAUGUACUAAGUCUAGAAUCAUACCUUGUAUCUUGAUUUUCACUGCUUGAGUCUUUGGCACAAUUGAACACUUAAACCAUUUGUGUUGGGCACUUAAUCACCAAAAUACUUAGAAAUGGCCCAAGGGCACAUUUCCCUUUCAAUCUCCCCCUUUUUGGUGAUUUAUGCCAACACAACAAAGUACAACACAUAGAAGUGCAUCUUCAAUGCAAAUGAGAACAAGAUUUGUUUUUGAUUCAAAUUUGGCAUAUUUGGAUCAUUCUUUGCCACCACUUGGUUUGUUUUUGCAAAUCAAAUUCAAUUUCCUAUCUCUAAGUCAAAUUCACUUGUUGAGGCAUAGAGAGAGAUAUUCCAAGAGGAAUUGAUCAAAGAUUCAAAAACUCCCCCUUUUUCCCAUAAUCAAACAUUCUCCCCACAAGAGACCAACUUUUGACAAAAAGAGACACUUAGAGUAUUUUGACAAACCAAAAGAUCUAACUCUACUAUUUUCAAAAUUCUCAAGUGGUAGCUGAUCCAUUUGCUUUAGCCUUAAUUUCUCCCCCUUUGGCAUCAAGCACCAAAACGGGAUCAUUGUUGGCCCUUUAACCUCAUUGCCUCACCAAAAUUGUCAAUUAAGAGCAAAAAGGCAAUAAGAGCAUAGAGAUGAACUUGGAGUAAAUUACUCUCUCAUCGGAGUGUAGUGAAAGUCUUUCAUGGUCCAAGUCCACCUUUCCCUUUAAAUCCACUUUUGAGACUACAUGAAGUAAACUUAAGCACAAAUGUUAGUCUUAAAGGGUCAAGUUGUAGCACUUCUCCCCCUAAAUAAGUGCAUCACUUGCACAUGGACUUGUGAGGUCUGAGGAUCAUGUGUACAGCUUGAGCACCACAAAUGAACAAAAUAGAUUGAAAUGCAUAAAUUACAUGAUCAAAGGCAUAAAACACAUGUAUGCUAGAUCAAUCCAAGUUACGCGAAUCUAAGACAUUUAGCUCACUACGCAGCCUGCAAAAGGUCUUCUCAUCUAAAGGCUUGGUAAAGAUAUCGGCUAGCUGGUUUUCGGUGCUAACAUAAAACACUUCGAUAUCUCCCUUUUGCUGGUGGUCUCUCAAAAAGUGAUGCUGGAUGUCUAUGUGCUUUGUGCGGCUAUGUUCAACAGGAUUGUCUGCCAUGCGGAUUGCACUCUCAUUAUCACAUAGGAGUGGGACUUUGCUCAGAUUGUAGCCAAAGUCCCGGAGGGUUUGCCUCAUCCAGAGUAGUUGCGCGCAACACUGUCCUGCGGCAACAUACUCGGCCUCAGCGGUGGAUAGGGCAACAGAAGUUUGUUUCUUAGAACUCCAAGACACCAGGGACCUUCCUAGGAAUUGUCACGUCCCUGAUGUACUCUUCCUAUCGACCUUGCAUCCAACAUAAUCGGAGUCUGAGUAUCCAAUUAAGUCAAAGGUUGACCCCUUUGGAUACCAGAUCCUGAAGCAAGGCGUAGCAACUAAAUAUCUAAGAAUUCACUUAACGGCCACAAGGUGACACUCCCUUGGGUCGGAUUGAAAUCUAGCACACAUGCAUAUGCUUAGCAUAAUAUCCGGUCUACUAGCACAUAAAUAAAGUAAAGACCCUAUCAUAGACCGGUAUGCUUUUUGAUCAACGGACUUACCUCCUUUGUUGAGGUCGACGUGUCUGUCAGUUCCCAUUGGAGUCUUUGCGGGCUUGGCGUCCUUCAUCCCAAACCGCGUGAUCAAGUCUUGCGUGUACUUUGUUUGGGAGAUGAAGGUGCCGUCCUUGAGUUGCUUCACUUGGAACCCAAGGAAGUAGUUCAACUCGCCCAUCAUCGACAUCUCAAAUUUUUGAGUCAUCAUACUGCUAAACUCUUCACAAGACUUUUGGUUAGUAGAACCAAAUAUUAUGUCAUCGACAUAAAUUUGGCAUACAAAUAAGUCACCAUCACAAGUCUUAGUGAAUAAGGUUGGAUCGGCUUUCCCAACCUUGAAAGCAUUAGCAAUUAGAAAGUCUCUAAGGCAUUCAUACUAUGCUCUUGGGGCUUGCUUAAGUUCAUAGAGCGCCUUAGAGAGCUUACACACGUGAUCGGGGUACCGUUCAUCCUCAAAGACAGGGGGUUGUUCUACGUACACCUCCUCCUUGAUUGGCCCGUUGAGGAAAGCGCUCUUCACAUCCAUUUGGAACAACCUGAAAGAAUGGUGAGCGGCAUAGGCUCACAAAAUGCGAAUGGACUCUAGCCUAGCCACAGGAGCAAAAGUCUCCUCAAAGUCCAAACCUGCGACUUGGGCAUAACCUUUUGCCACAAGUCUAGCAUUGUUCCUUGUCACCACCCCGUGCUCGUCCUGUUUGUUGCAGAACACCCACUUGGUUCCCACAACGUUUUGCUUGGGACGUGGCACCAGUGUCCAAACUUCAUUUCGCUUGAAGUUAUUGAGCUCUUCCUGCAUGGCCAACACCCAGUCCGGAUCUAGCAAGGCCUCUUCUACCCUGAAAGGCUCAAUAGAAGAGACAAAAGAGUAAUGCUCACAAAAAUUAACUAAUCUAGAGCAAGUAGUUACUCCCUUGCUUAUAUCACCCAAAAUUUGAUCGACGGGAUGAUUCCUUUGAACCGUCGCUCGGACUUGAGUUGGAGGGGCUCGUGGUUCUUCUUCCUCCAUCACUUGAUCAUCUUGUGCUCCCCCUUGAUCACACGCCUCUUCUUGAUGAACCUGUUCAUCGUCUUGGGUUGGGGGAUGCACCAUUGUUGAGGAAGAAGGUUGAUCUUGCUCCUUUUGUUCCUGUGGUCGUACAUCUCCAAUCGCCAUGGUGCGUAUUGCGGCCGUUGGAACAUCAUCUUCAUCUACAUCAUCAAGAUCAACUUGCUCCCUUGAAGAGCCAUUAGUCUCAUCAAAUACAACGUCGCUAGAGACUUCAACCAAACCCGAUGAUUUGUUGAAGACCCUAUACGCCUUUGUAUUUGAGUCAUAACCUAACAAAAACCCUUCUACAGCUUUGGGAGCAAAUUUGUAAUUCCUACCUUUCUUCACUAGAAUGUAGCAUUUACUCCCAAAUACACGAAAGUAUGACACGUUGGGUUUGUUACCGGUUAGAUGUUCGUACGAAGUCUUCUUGAGGAGGCGAUGAAGGUAGACCCAGUUUAUGGCGUGGCAAGCCGUGUUCACAGCUUCCGACCAAAACCGCUCGGGCGUCUUGAAUUCUCCAAGCAUCGUCCUUGCCAUGUCUAUGAGGGUCCUGUUCUUCCUCUCUACCACACCAUUUUGCUAUGGUGUGUAGGGAGCGGAGAACUCGUGCUUGAUUCCUUCUUCCUCAAGGUACUCCUCCACUUGAAGGUUCUUGAACUCGGACCCAUUGUCGCUUCUUAUAUUUUUCACCUUGAGCUCUCCUUAGGAAGCGCUUAAGGGUCCCUUGGGUUUCUGUUUUAUCCUGCAAAAAGAAUACCCAAGUGAAGCGAGAAAAAUCAUCAACUAUAACAAGACCAUACUUACUUCCCCCAAUGCUGAGGUAGGCGACGGGUCCGAAGAGGUCCAUAUGAAGUAGCUCCAGAGGUCUUGAUGUGGUCAUCACAUUCUUGUUAUGAUGAGCACUUCCCACUUCUUUACCUGCUUGACACGCUGCACAAGAUCUAUCUUUUUCGAAAGUUACAUUUGUUAGACCUAACACAUGUUCUCCCUUUACAAGUUUGUGAAGGUUCUUCAUCCCCACAUGUGCUAGACGGCGAUGCCACAGCUAGCCCAUGCUAGUCUUAGCGAUUAAGCAUGCAUCUAGAUCGGCCUCCUCCUUCAAAAAAUCAACUAAAUAGAGUUUGUCGUCUAGUACACCCUUAAAAGCUAAUGAACCAUCACUCCUUCUAAAGACAGACACAUCUACAUUUGUAAAUAAGCAAUUAUAACCCAUAUUACAUAAUUGACUAACGGACAACAAGUUAUACCCAAGCAAUUCAACUAAAAACACAUUAGAUAUGGAAUGCUCGGAUGAAAUAGCUAUCUUUCCUAGUCCUUUAACCUUGCCUUGAUUCCCGUCACCAAAUAUGAUUGAAUCUUGAUAAUCUUUGUUCUUGACGUAGGAGGAGAACAUCUUCUUCUCCCCCGUCAUGUGGUUUGUGCAUCCGCUGUCGAUAAUCCAGCUUGAGCUCCCGGAUGCAUAAACCUGCAAGGCAAAUUAGGCUUGGGUUUUAGGUACCCAACUCUUGUUGGGUCCUACAAGGUUAGUAACAAUAGCCUUAGGGACCCAAAUGCAAGUUUUGUCUCCCUUGCAUUUUGCCCCUAAUUUCCUAGCAACCACUUUCUUAUCUUUGCAUGUGAGUACAAACUCAGUGUUGCAGGCAUGAAUAACAGUAGCAUUUUCAUUAUGCAUUUUCCUAGGCACAUUAACAACAUUUCUCCUAGGCAUAUGAUGAACAACAUUUUUCCUAGGCAUAUCUCUACCAUGCACAAAGGAAGAACUUGAAGCAAUCGUGGCAUGUGAAUCAUAAGCAUUACAACUCCUAUUAUGAUAAGCAUUUCUAGAAAAUUUUCUAUCAUAAAUAAAUGCAUGAUUCUUUUGACUACUAUUAGCCAUAGGAGCCUUUCCCUUUUCCUUGUUGAAAAUGGGAGCUCUUUGGCUUGUUAAGUUCUUGGCUUCCCUUUUAAAGACAAGUCCAUCCUUAAUUGAGGGGUGUCUACCAAUAGUGUAGGCAUCCCUUGCAAAUUUUAGUUUAUCAAAGUCAUUUUUGCUAGUCUUAAGUUGGGCAUUAAGACUAGCCACUUCACUAUUUAAUUUUGCAAUAGAAGUAAGGUGCUCAACACAUGCAUCAACAUUUAAGUCCUUACACCUAUUACAAAUUACUACAUGUUCAAUACAUGAGCUAGAUUUAUUAGCUACUUCUAACUUAGCAUUUAAGUCAUCAUUGAUACUCUUUAGACUAGAAAUAGACUCAUGACAAGUAGAUAAUUCACAUGAAAGCAUUUCAUUUCUUUUAACUUCUAAAGCAAGAGACUUUUGCACACUUACAAAUUUAUCAUGCUCUUCUUAUAAAAGAUCCUCUUGUUUUUCUAACAAUCUAUUCUUCUCAUUCAAAGCAUCAAUCAAUUCAUUGAUCUUAUCAAUUUUAGUUCUAUCUAAACCUUUGAAUAAACUUGCAUAGUCUACUUCAUCAUCACUUGAAGAAGCAUAUGUAAUAGUAUUUCGAGUGCUUACCUUCUUCUCCUUUGCCAUGAGGCAGGUGUGAUGCUCGUUGGGGAAGAGAGACGAUUUGUUGAAGGUCGUGGCGGCGAGUCCUUCGUCGUCGGAGUCGGACGUAGAACAAUCCGAGUCCCAUUCUUUUCCAAGGUGUGCCUCGCCCUUAGCCUUCUUGUAAACCUUCUUGUUCUCUCUCUUCCCAUUCUUUCCUUGUUCCUGGUAACUAUCAUUAUCGGUACAAUUAGCAAUAAAGUGACCAAUCUUACCACACUUAAAGCAAGAGCGCUUUCCCUUCGUCUUGCUCUUGUUGGGAUGCUCCUUGCGUCCUUUGAGCGCCGUCUUGAAGCGCUUGAUAAUGAGGGCCAUUUCAUCCUCAUUUAGCCCGGCCGCCUCAACUUGUGCCACCUUGCUAGGUAGCGCCUCCCUGCUACUUGUUGCUUUGAGAGCAACGAUUUGAGGCUCGUGGAUCGGCAUUGGGCCAUUCAACGCCUCAUCAACAUAUCUUGCCUCCUUGAUCAUCAUUCGCCCGCUUACAAACUUUCCGAGUAUUUCCUCGGGCGUCAUCUUGGUGUACCUAGGAUUUUUACGGAUAGAGUUAACAAGAUGAGGAUCAAGGACAGUGAAGGACCUUAGCAUAAGUCGGACGACGUCAUGGUCCGUCCAUCUCGUGCUUCCAUAGCUUCUGAUUUUGUUGACCAGGGUCUUGAGCCUGUUGUACGUUUGAGUUGGCUCCUCCCCCCUGAUCAUUGCGAACCUUCCUAGUUCGCCUUCCACCAACUCCAUCUUGGUGAUCAUGGUGGCGUCGUUCCCCUCAUGUGAGAUCUUGAGGGUGUCCCAAAUUUGUUUGGCAUUAUCCAAGCCACCCACCUUAUGAUACUCUUCCUUGCACAAGGAUACUAAAAGAACAGUAGUAGCUUGUGCAUUUUUGUGAAUUUGUUCAUUGAUAAACAUGGAGUUAUCCGAACUAUCAAAUUGCAUUCCAUUUUCUACUAUCUCCCAUAUACUUGGAUGAAGAGAGAACAAGUGGCUACGCAUUUUGUGACUCCAAAAUCUGUAGUCCUCUCCAUCAAAGUGUGGGGGUUUACCAAGAGGAAUGGAAAGCAAAUGAGUGUUGGAAUUUUGCGGAAUACGAGAAUAAUCAAAAGAAAAGUUUGAGUUGACCGUUUUCUUUUUCUCGUCGUCGUCAUCUCUUUGAGAAGAAGAGGACUCGUCGCUGUCGUAGUAGACUAUCUUCUUGAUGUGCCUCUUCUUCUUCCCAUCCUUCUUCUUGUGACUUGAGCCCGAGUCUGUGGGCUUGUCGUCUUUUGGCUCAUUGAUGAAGGACUCCUUCUCCUUGUCGUUGAUCACCAUCCCCUUUCCCUUAGGAUCCAUCCCUUCGGGCGAUUAGUCCCUUUCGUGAAGAGAACAGCUCUGAUACCAAUUGAGAGCACCUAGAGGGGGGUGAAUAGGUGAUCCUGUAAAACUUAAAACUUAUUGCCACAAAACUUGGUUAAGUGUUAGUGCAAUAGGAUCAAGUAGCUGGAGAGGAGUACUUGUGAAACACAGAAACCACAGAGAGAAACAACACAGUAGACACAGUGGUUUAUCCCGUGGUUCGGCCAAGUACAAAACUUGCCUACUCCACGUUGUGGCGUCCCAAUGGACGAGGGUUGCACUCAACCCCUCUCAAGUGAUCCAAUGAUCAACUUGAAUACCACGGUGUUCCUUUUCUUAUCACUUUUCCGUUUGCGAGGAAUCUCCACAAGUUGGAGUCUCUCGCCCUUACAACAAAUAUCAAAGUGAAAGCACUAGAAUAAGGGAGGGAAGCAACACACACAAAUCCCAGCAAUACGCACACACACACAAGCCAAGGCUUGAGCUCAAAUGAAACACAACAAGUUCACCACUAGAACGGAGCUCAAAUCACUAAGAAUGUCAAUCGAGUGUGCGAGAAUGGAGUGCGGGAGUCUUAGAAUGUUCAGAGUAUGCUGGGUGUUCUCCCCAUGCGCCUAGGGGUCCCUUUUAUAGCCCCAAGGCAGCUAGGAGCCGUUGAGAGCAAUCCAGGAAGGCAAUUCUUGCCUUCUGUCGGGUGGCGCACCCGGACAGUCCGGUGCACCACCGGACAGGCACUGUUCAGUGUCCAGUGCAGAUUGCUUUCCUAAAUUGGCGCAGCCGACCGUUGAAGAUUUGGAGCCGUUGGCGCACCGGACACUGUCCGGUGCCCCCAUCAGACCGUUAGCUCGGCCACGCGUCACGCGCGGAUUGCGCGGCCGACCGUUGGCGCGGCCGACCGUUGGCUCACCGGACAGUCCGAUGCACCACCGGACAGUCCGGUGAUUUUUAGUCGUUCGCCGUCGUCGAGACCCGAGAGUAGCCAGUUGACCAGACUCCAGCCUGGCGCACCGGACACUGUCCGGUGCACCACUGGACAGUCUGGUGCACCUAGACUGCGCAGAGUCUUGGCUGCUCCAGCAAGUCUUUUCCGUUUUGUCUUUUCUCUGAUUCUAGCACUUAGACAAAUAUGUUAGUACACAAAAACUAAUGUACUAAGUCUAGAAUCAUACCUUGUAUCUUGAUUUUCACUGCUUGAGUCUUUGGCACAAUUGAACACUUAAACCAUUUGUGUUGGGCACUUAAUCACCAAAAUACUUAGAAAUGGUCCAAGGGCAUAUUUCCCUUUCAGUAAGGUAGUCCUCCACUAGAUUUCCUAAUUAGUAAGCCAAGGUGUCCCAUUCCACCCUUGUGGUAGCACGGUUAUCUCAAGUUAAGCUCCAUGUUCCAAUUAACAUGAUGAUCUUGUCAUGAACAAUAACUAAAACAACAACAUAAUUGGAAUAUGGUCAUAAUUCAAAUGUAACAUUAAUCUCAAGACCAGGUAGAGCAAUAGCAUGUCUACCCAAUAGUUCAGUUGUCUGCAAGGGGUGGGGUAAACAAACUAGGGAAACCUAUUAGGUCCCAUCAAAUUAACCUAAGCAUGUCACAUUGAUGAACAAGAAUAUUAUUAGGUAAAGAAGAGUGAUCAAGGGCAUAACUUGCCUUAGACUUGGGAUCCCAGAUACUUCACCAAAUUGGUCUCCGGGUGACCCGUAACCUCGCUGGUACUAGUAGCAAUACAUACAAAUAGACAAGAAGUACAUAAAAAUAACAUUAUACCAAACAUGAGAACAAACACCAUAAGAAUAUUCUACGCGCUGCUACGAGAUUGUGGGUUCGAGAAUCACUAGAAUCAGAGUUAUGGUUCAAAAGAUUUAGUUUUCUGAAGUUUAGGUGUUUAAACAAUAAAACUAUAUUAUAUGUUGAUUAAUAAAAUAACGUGAGAAAAUACAUUAAGGAAAUAACUAAUUCAACAGUAAUUUAAGUUAUAUCUUAAUUGGAAAUCAUAUCUUCACCACUUAUGGAGGAAUCGAUUAUAAUAUCACAUUUAACCUGUAUUAGAAAAGUUAAUUUGAUAACUAGAGAUUAAUUAAUUAUUUUCAAGAAUAUGUUUCAUGACAAAAUAAAGUUACUAAAGUGUAGGCAAAAUCAUUAUGAAGAUAACACAACUUGAGCGGGUCAAAUUAGAGUUAAAAUGAAAUAGUUAUGAAUUCCCUAGGUUCUCUAUAAUUUUUUAUACAAAAAUCAUUUUCUGUAUUUAGUUUACAAAUUCCUGGAUUCGCUGGACUAUGGACACUAUUUACAGAAGUUCGGGGGUCUGAUCUGAAAGAAAACGGACUUGGUGCAAUGGUUCUACUAUAGCCAUGAACUGUGGGUUAAAUAUAAUAAACCACAUAGACUCUUUAUUAAGUUUGCCACGGUCGGACGGGUACGGGCACAGGUGGUCCGCUAGAUCUAGAUUCGAUGGCUACAGAUAGAUUAUGAACUUGUAUCUCUUGCUAGCCCUAGGUUCCGAGAUCGAUGGUUCUGAUUUAAUUACUUAGAUCACUAGUCCCGACCGCCCAAUUGAGAUCGAACGCCCGAGAUAACCCCAAGGCGAAACGGUACGACUCCCCUAGUCACAACCACUGAUCCCCAGAACGACGGCCAACAUCUUUCUUCCACCUCCCGCAACCCACACGCGGUAGCACCGCCGAUCCGAGGCCUAGAUUUCGCCAGAGAUGCGCUCAUCCGAGCUUCUAGGGCCUAAUCCGAGCGCUACCGGGAGGAGGGCAAACGCUGGUGUGAACAUGAAGGGGUGGCGUACCAGUGCACAGCGCGGCGAAAACCCCAUCCGCAGAGCAGUGUGAUCCCCUGACGAAGCUUCAUCGUCGGCAAGCAAUUGCCAGCCCUCCGAUCGAUCACCCCUCCAAACAACGCCACAGACACAUCCGCCAGGAUAGGCCGAGCCUCCCUGGCCGUGUUCUUAACUCAGACGACGGCACUCCCUCCGAUUGGCCAGCGGCAACAACCUUCACUCCGCCCAGCGGCAACUCUCCCUCACGUUGGCGUUCAUGGCCGACAA
Molecule: long non-coding RNA, 9621 nt
Filed under: Zea mays
Lineage: Eukaryota; Viridiplantae; Streptophyta; Magnoliopsida; Poales; Poaceae
Description: long non-coding RNA (ZMAY_LNC005171)
Source: RNAcentral